GUGGUGGGAAUGGUGAGAGAGAGAGAGAGCCCCGUCUGUACUUCGCUUUACGUUUUUGUAUAUAAAUUAGACCGCAGUUGUAAGUUGAAACAGAUGAUCGAUAGGGGGAACGGACAAUGCAUGGUGGAACAAUUAAUUAAUGAGAACAUCUAUACGUUCAAAAGAAGAAGAAGAAGAAGAGAUCAUUAGUAAAGAUCUAGCUAGCUAGAUUGAGAUCUCGUACUAGCUAAUUGAGCUACCUACUUGGUUAGAGCUGGAAUGAUUGCCUCCAGUUCCUUUUUUAUUUUCUUUUCCGUUCUUUUCUUCUCUGUGCUUUUCCUCUUUCUCUUCCUUUUCCUUUUUUACGUUUUCCGGUGCAUAUCAUGAUUCAGCCACUGCACGCGCGCCCGGCCCCCAUUAUUUGCUUUCUAGCUAGCUUAGUCCCCACAACGCAGCUCUCAUCCACACUCCUCAUUAAUUAACUGGGCUUUCUCCACAUUGCCAUGUUAAUGCAGCAUCACAUUAAUCACAUACACAACUUUGCCGGUUAAUUUCAGCCGCUUGAAGCUAGCUUCUGAGAGAUGGACGCUGAGAAAUUGUAGCGGUCUUUACGGAGGCGGCAAAGGACUUGGUGCAUUUUCUGCUCCGGCCCCUCCCUCCGCCGCCCAAACUGCUACUUGAUCCUUAUUUAAUGGACAUGGCAAUGAGGACGGUGCGCCGGGGGACGGCGGCGGCGAUGGACGACUUGUCGAGGUCGACGGGCUUCGCAUGGAUGGAGUCCGGCACUGCUCUUGAUCUAGGAGAAUAAUGUUGUCGACUUCAAUAAUAUGGCAUAUUUAUAUAUAUAUAUAUUGAAGUGACAAAACUGAUCUAUAUUUUUCUCCUUCUAUGUAUCUCUAAUUAAUAAAGAGUGUUUUGGGAGGGUUGUUAGUGAA
Long non-coding RNA from Malania oleifera, 914 nucleotides. RefSeq lists it as uncharacterized. NCBI's taxonomy places the organism in Eukaryota, Viridiplantae, Streptophyta, Magnoliopsida, Santalales, Ximeniaceae. The transcript is spliced from 2 exons. The record is from RefSeq and is a predicted model, not a curated record.